This 319-nucleotide unclassified non-coding RNA is filed under the name uncultured fungus. RNAcentral's name for it is "sequence contains ITS2". The stretch from base 1 to 52 matches the Rfam family "5.8S ribosomal RNA", at positions 103 to 154 of the family's 154-position model. The record is from RNAcentral. Lineage: Eukaryota; Fungi.
AACGCACCUUGCGCUCCUUGGUAUUCCGAGGAGCAUGCCUGUUUGAGUGUCAUGAAAUUCUCAACUGCCUUGGGUUUGCUCUCAAGGUGAAGUUGGACUUUGGAGGGCUACUGCUGGCGCUUUCGAGUAAAGCUUGUCGGCUCCUCUUGAAUGCAUGAGCUUUUCCAGUGGGGGGACAAAGUGACACCGAUGUGAUAAUUAUCUACGUUGGUCGACCUUUUUGAGUCCCUCUACUCGGAUGGGUCUUACAUCGACACAGAGAUGUGGCGAACUUGACAAAUUCGACCUCAAAUCAGGUAGGACUACCCGCUGAACUUAA